UACAGAGGGUGCGAGCGUUUGUCCGGAAUCACUGGGCGUAAAGGGCGCGUAGGUGGCGCCCCAAGUCCGUGGUGAAAGCUCGAUGCUCAACAUCGAGUCGGCCACGGAAACUGGGGGGCUCGAGCACUGUAGAGGCAGAUGGAAUUCCGGGUGUAGCGGUGGAAUGCGUAGAGAUCCGGAAGAACACCGGGUGGCGAAGGCGGUCUGCUGGGCAGUAGCUGACACUGAGCGCGACAGCGAGGGGAGCAAACAGG
Molecule: ribosomal RNA, 254 nt
Filed under: uncultured bacterium
Lineage: Bacteria
Description: partial 16S ribosomal RNA
Rfam family: Bacterial small subunit ribosomal RNA
Source: RNAcentral